Molecule: small RNA, 390 nt
Filed under: Pan troglodytes (chimpanzee)
Lineage: Eukaryota; Metazoa; Chordata; Mammalia; Primates; Hominidae
Description: processed transcript
Source: RNAcentral
GCCCCUGCCUGCCACACCAAGCAUUAGGCCACCAGGAAGACCCCCAUCUGCAAGCAAGCAGGGAGAAAGAGAAGUUUCUUCAGGACAUAACUGAUGCUGAGAAGUAUUUUAUUGGCUUAAUUUACCAUCGUGAAGAGAAAAGGUGGCGUUGGAUCAACAACUCUGUGUUCAACGGCAAGUACGUGAACAUCCCACAGUUUCCUGGGGAUCUUGGUUUGCUUCAAAAGACCAAACCUGAGAUUGGUGGGUUCACCCUGGAAUAGCUCAAACGCUGACACUUGACUCUGUUCUGCUCUUCUCCUUUCUUCCAACCCAUCUAUUCCCUGAGACACAUUUUAAUAAAUGUUUUCUUAUGAAAGAGAUCAAACUUUCAUAAGGAGAGAGAAGAGU